RNAcentral lists this ribosomal RNA (1236 nucleotides) under Phytoplasma sp. STRAWB1. Its description in RNAcentral is "bacterial SSU rRNA". It matches the Rfam family "Bacterial small subunit ribosomal RNA", at positions 157 to 1395 of the family's 1533-position model. The record is from RNAcentral. Lineage: Bacteria; Bacillati; Mycoplasmatota; Mollicutes; Acholeplasmatales; Acholeplasmataceae.
CGACUGCUAAGACUGGAUAGGAGACUAGAAGGCAUCUUCUUAUUUUUAAAAGACCUAGCAAUAGGUAUGCUUAAGGAGGGGCUUGCGUCACAUUAGUUAGUUGGUAGGGUAAAAGCCUACCAAGACGAUGAUGUGUAGCCGGGCUGAGAGGUUGAACGGCCACAUUGGAACUGAGACACGGUCCAAACUCCUACGGGAGGCAGCAGUAGGGAAUUUUCGGCAAUGGAGGAAACUCUGACCGAGCAACGCCGCGUGAACGAUGAAGUAUUUCGGUAYGUAAAGUUCUUUUAUUAAGGAAGAAAAGAUGGUGGAAAAACCAUUAUGACGGUACUUAAUGAAUAAGCCCCGGCUAACUAUGUGCCAGCAGCCGCGGUAAUACAUAGGGGGCGAGCGUUAUCCGGAAUUAUUGGGCGUAAAGGGUGCGUAGGCGGUUUAAUAAGUUUAUGGUCUAAGUGCAAUGCUUAACAUUGUGAUGCUAUAAAAACUGUUUUACUAGAGUUGGAUAGAGGCAAGUGGAAUUCCAUGUGUAGUGGUAAAAUGCGUAAAUAUAUGGAGGAACACCAUGAGCGAAGGCGGCUUGCUGGGUCUUAACUGACGCUGAGGCACGAAAGCGUGGGGAGCAAACAGGAUUAGAUACCCUGGUAGUCCACGCCGUAAACGAUGAGUACUAGACAUUGGGUUAAACCAGUGUCGAAGUUAACACAUUAAGUACUCCGCCUGAGUAGUACGUACGCAAGUAUGAAACUUAAAGGAAUUGACGGGACUCCGCACAAGCGGUGGAUCAUGUUGUUUAAUUCGAAGGUACCCGAAAAACCUUACCAGGUCUUGACAUGCUUCUGCAAAGUUGUAGAAAUACAGCGGAGGUUAUCAGUUGCACAGGUGGUGCAUGGUUGUCGUCAGCUCGUGUCGUGAGAUGUUGGGUUAAGUCCCGCAACGAGCGCAACCCUUGUUGUUAAUUGCCAUCAUUAAGUUGGGGACUUUAGCAAGACUGCCAGUGAUAAAUUGGAGGAAGGUGGGGACGACGUCAAAUCAUCAUGCCCCUUAUGACCUGGGCUACAAACGUGAUACAAUGGCUGUUACAAAGGGUAGCUGAAGCGCAAGCUUUUGGCAAAUCUCAAAAAAACAGUCUCAGUUCGGAUUGAAGUCUGCAACUCGACUUUAUGAAGUUGGAAUCGCUAGUAAUCGCGAAUCAGCAUGUCGCGGUGAAUACGUUCUCGGGGUUUGUACACACCGCCC